UCGCUAUGAUGAAGUUACUACAUCCAUUCGCAGUUUCCACCAGAGGUCUUAACGGACUAAAGAUGGCAUUGACCUUCCCUGGAUGUCUGAGCGA
Molecule: small nucleolar RNA, 94 nt
Organism: Fundulus heteroclitus (mummichog)
Lineage: Eukaryota; Metazoa; Chordata; Actinopteri; Cyprinodontiformes; Fundulidae
Gene: SNORD14
Rfam family: Small nucleolar RNA SNORD14
About the family: U14 small nucleolar RNA (U14 snoRNA) is required for early cleavages of eukaryotic precursor rRNAs.
Source: Ensembl